AGAGUUUGAUCAUGGCUCAGGAUGAACGCUGGCGGCGUGCCUAAUACAUGCAAGUCGAGCGGUAAGGCUCUGCACUUAUUAUUUGAACACGGUAGCAAUACCAUGCUGACUCUAGGCUAGAGAAGGUAGAUCGAAUAAUGGGUGUAGAGUACACGAGCGGCGGACGGCUGAGUAACGCGUAGGAACGUACCCCAAAGUGAGGGAUAAGCACCGGAAACGGUGUCUAAUACCGCAUGUGAUCUUCGGAUUAAAGCUUUAUGCGCUUUGGGAACGGCCUGCGUAAGAUUAGCUUGUUGGUGAGGUAAAAGCUCACCAAGGCGACGAUCUUUAGCUGGUCUGAGAGGAUGAUCAGCCAGACUGGGACUGAGACACGGCCCAGACUCCUACGGGAGGCAGCAGUAGGGAAUUUUCCACAAUGGGCGAAAGCCUGAUGGAGCAACGCCGCGUGCAGGAUGAAACCCUUCGGGGCGUAAACUGCUUUUAUCUGUGACGAUUUUGACGGUAGCAGAUGAAUAAGGAUCGGCUAACUCCGUGCCAGCAGCCGCGGUCAUACGGAGGAUCCAAGCGUUAUCCGGAAUUACUGGGCGUAAAGAGUUGCGUAGGCGGCAAAGUAAGUAAGUAAUGAAAUCGUGUGGCUCAACCACAUACCCAUUGCUUAAACUGCUUAGCUUGAGAAUGGAAGAGGUUGCUAGAAUUCCUAGUGUAGGGGUGAAAUCCGUAGAUAUUAGGAGGAAUACCAAUGGCGUAGGCAGGCAACUGGUCCAUUUCUGACGCUCAGGCACGAAAGCGUGGGGAGCGAUCGGGAUUAGAUACCCCGGUAGUCCACGCCGUAAACGAAGGAUGCUAGCUGUAUGAGGUAUCGACCCCUUAUGUAGCGAAGCUAACGCGUUAAGCAUCCCGCCUGUGGAGUACGGUCGCAAGACUAAAACUUAAAGGAAUUGACGG
This 945-nucleotide ribosomal RNA is filed under the name uncultured bacterium. RNAcentral describes it as "bacterial SSU rRNA". It matches the Rfam family "Bacterial small subunit ribosomal RNA", at positions 8 to 916 of the family's 1533-position model. The record is from RNAcentral.